GACGAGCGCUGGCGGCGUGCCUAAUACAUGCAAGUCGAGCGCUGAAGGUUGGUACUUGUACCAACUGGAUGAGCAGCGAACGGGUGAGUAACGCGUGGGGAAUCUGCCUUUGAGCGGGGGACAACAUUGGGAAACGAAUGCUAAUACCGCAUAAAAACUUGAAACACAAGGUUGAAGAGUGAAAGAUGGAAUUGCAGCACUCAAAGAUGAUCCCGCGUUGUAUUAGCUAGUUGGUGAGGUAAAGGCUCACCAAGGCGAUGAUACAUAGCCGACCUGCGAGGGUGAUCGGCCACCUUGGGACUGGGACACGGCCCCACAUCCUUCGGGUGGCAGCCGUAGGGAAUCUUCGGCCAUAGGCGGAAGUCUUACCGAGCCACGCCGCGUGCGUGGAGAAGGUUUUCGGGUCGUAAAACUCUGUUGGUGGGGAAGAACGUUGGUGAGAGUGGAACGCUCAUCGAGUGACGGUAACUACCCAGAAAGGUACGGCUAACUACGUG
This 497-nucleotide ribosomal RNA is filed under the name uncultured bacterium. RNAcentral's name for it is "partial 16S ribosomal RNA". It matches the Rfam family "Bacterial small subunit ribosomal RNA", at positions 28 to 507 of the family's 1533-position model. The record is from RNAcentral.